Long non-coding RNA from Drosophila kikkawai, 735 nucleotides. RefSeq lists it as uncharacterized. The record is from RefSeq and is a predicted model, not a curated record. Lineage: Eukaryota; Metazoa; Arthropoda; Insecta; Diptera; Drosophilidae.
AACAAAAACGUAAACAAACAAAAUUGACGACUUUUCUUGGAAGGGAAAUGGUGGCAUUGAUGGAGUCGCCACGACUCUCCCGCCCAACCUGUGGUGUCUCCGCUGUGUCUUGGGGCACCACCCAUCUCCGGCGGACCGGAGUCUAAUCCAGGCGGCCUGACGGCCGGCCCAUCUCCCUAGGUACUUAUUGCUAACAUUGAUUGCCCAUGGGACUCAUUCCCGGCCAAACGUCACCCUAGCCUGGGAUGCGCUCGCGCCAAGACUGCGGCAGCGGAGAAGAAGCGGCAGUCCGCUAAAGAAAAUAGCCACAAACUGACUUGAGAGAUUCUUGAGAUUUCCUUCUUUCCUACCUACUAUCCCUGCUGGAGCUCCAAGAGAAAUAAAGGGGAUAGAACUCGUGUUGCACAAAUCCCUGACACAAGUUAGGAGACGCGGAGAACAAGCACAUUGAAACGAUACGACAACUAUAAGGCAAGAUUGGCGGCCCGCAAUGGCGAUGAGGCUUCACCAGUAUGCGUGGCCAGAAAUCGCAGUAGCUGCUGGCGGCGGCGAGCCCGAUGAAAGUGGGGAGUACAACGCAACGGCCACGUCGUUUUCGGUCAGCGGAGCGAAUAAAAGCCCCCAAUAUACGUAAGUUUUGCCGGUUCCGGACGGCACCUCAUGGAACGGACUCACCGGAUUCCAGUUUAAUCAGGUGGAUGGCUCAGGUAACGGCUGCUAAGAGGCUCGUUGGAA